RNAcentral lists this ribosomal RNA (459 nucleotides) under uncultured bacterium. RNAcentral's name for it is "partial 16S ribosomal RNA". It matches the Rfam family "Bacterial small subunit ribosomal RNA", at positions 338 to 795 of the family's 1533-position model. The record is from RNAcentral.
CCUACGGGAGGCUGCAGUGACGAAUAUUGGUCAAUGGGCGGGAGCCUGAACCAGCCAAGCCGCGUGAGGGAAGAAGGUACAGCGUAUCGUAAACCUCUUUUGUCAGGGAACAAAGGCGGGGACUAGUCCCCGGAUGAGGGUACCUGAAGAAAAAGCAUCGGCUAACUCCGUGCCAGCAGCCGCGGUAAUACGGAGGAUGCGAGCGUUAUCCGGAUUUAUGGGGUUUAAAGGGUGCGCAGGCGGCCUGUUAAGUCAGCGGUAAAAGCCCGGGGCUCAACCCCGGCGAGCCGUUGAAACUGGCGGGCUGGAGUUGGAGAGAAGUACGCGGAAUGCGCGGUGUAGCGGUGAAAUGCUUAGAUAUCGCGCAGAACCCCGAUUGCGAAGGCAGCGUACCGGCUCCACACUGACGCUGAGGCACGAAAGCGUGGGUAUCGAACAGGAUUAGAUACCCGUGUAGUC